CCAAUAGCGUAUAUUAAAGUUGUUGCAGUUAAAAAGCUCGUAGUUGAAUUUCGGGACCAAUAUGUCGGUCGUGCUUCGGUACGUACUUGCAUUGUUGGUUUCUCCCUUCUGAAGAACCAUGAUGUCAUUAAUUUGGUGUCUUGGGGAAUCAGGACUGUUACUUUGAAAAAAUUAGAGUGUUUAAAGCAGGCUCACGCUUGAAUACAUUAGCAUGGAAUAAUGAAAUAGGACGUUUGAUUCUAUUUUGUUGGUUUCUAGGAUCGACGUAAUGAUUAAUAGGGAUAGUUGGGGGCAUUAGUAUUCAAUUGUCAGAGGUGAAAUUCUUGGAUUUAUUGAAGACUAACUUCUGCGAAAGCAUUUGCCAAGGAUGUUUUCAUUAAUCAAGAACGAAAGUUAGGGGAUCGAAGACGAUCAGAUACCGUCGUAGUCUUAACCAUAAACUAUGCCGACUAGGGAUCGGAUGAUGUUAAUUUUUUAAUGACUCAUUCGGCGCCUUACG
RNAcentral lists this ribosomal RNA (499 nucleotides) under uncultured Glomeromycotina. Its description in RNAcentral is "partial small subunit ribosomal RNA". It matches the Rfam family "Eukaryotic small subunit ribosomal RNA", at positions 591 to 1092 of the family's 1831-position model. Lineage: Eukaryota; Fungi; Glomeromycota. The record is from RNAcentral.